CUUUUUUGUUGUCUGUGUCACUUUUCAUACGUUUGUUCAUGGACACGUUCAUUAACCAAAAUAAAAAUAAAAAUGAGAGAAGAAAUCGGAAACAAUAAUUUGUACUUACAAGACUGACUGAAAUAAAAAAUAAACAGAAAACAUUCUUACUUUUUGGCAGUGUGGUCAGAUUUGAAACACCCAGACAGCUUAAUGAGGCUUUGGUGUAAAUUCACAUCAAGUCUGUAUCAAAUGAGGUGUUGUGUUUGUAUUAUAAUAUUAUAAAUCUUGCUUCUAACUCUUAACACCCACUUUAUAAUAAGAAAACUAAAAGCAACGCUGAAACUGGAUUGCUACUAUUAGAUUACUAAAUGAUUAUCAUGGCUUUCUUGGUCAAGUUGAACCAUUGUAAUUACUUUAUUCCCUAUUGGCAGCUUUAAUAUCCUUUAAAACUGUUUUUUCUUAAACCCUAAUAAAAAACAACUACAUGGCACAUUUAUCUAUUGGAUGUAUUAAAGCAGAUUUUCUUUCAACGUUUAAAUACUCAGUUAUGUACAGAUACACAAGAAUUGUAUUUUAGUUGAGCACUUGAUUAAAUGUAGGUCUUAUCUGUAUUCAUGUUCAUGUCAAACUGUGGGCACUUAAAGGAAAAACAGUACUAAGGCAGUGGAUUCUUUGGAGUUAACCCCAUGUCUGCUGGAGGUUUUGUGGAAAAAUGUAAUACCUGACUGAACCUUUUGAAACACAUUGAUCUGUUCUCUGUUUGCCACUGUUUGUUCUCGCUCUUUGGUGGAACCACAAGCUAACAGCUUAGCUUAGAGCUUGGAGAGUACCGAGAUGUACUGUACUUCCUUAUCUGGAGAGCACAUGCAGGGCGGGUAUAUGAAUGAAUAUGAGUGAAAGUAGUUUCUCUGACAGAUAAUGUUGUAUGCUUCGGAUCAUAUGCUGUCUCUCUCUUCUCUUCUCCAUCUUUCAGAGCAGACCUCCACCUCUCCAGGCUCUCAUCCGCCUGGUCCUUACUCUCGCUACAGAUCACAGUGCCAUAUGUAAACAUCAUUGCCACGGAGACUCCUGCCUGACCUCAUCUGUCACCUUGUCCAUCACCACUGCAAACAAGAAGGGGCUCAAAGCCGAUACUGAAUAUAAUCCCACCCUGACUUUGACCUCAUCCGUAGCACCUACCAGACAGCUCACUGUUGUCACACUGUCCUCAUAUUAAAC
This is a long non-coding RNA of Oreochromis aureus, 1200 nucleotides long. Lineage: Eukaryota; Metazoa; Chordata; Actinopteri; Cichliformes; Cichlidae. The record is from Ensembl.